Long non-coding RNA from Gordionus sp. m RMFG-2023, 577 nucleotides. RefSeq lists it as uncharacterized. NCBI's taxonomy places the organism in Eukaryota, Metazoa, Nematomorpha, Gordioida, Chordodea, Parachordodidae. The transcript is spliced from 4 exons. The record is from RefSeq and is a predicted model, not a curated record.
UUAAUAAAUGUCUUAGAUAUAUAACCAUAACCUUCUUCCCUGGUAAUACAACUAACUAUAUUCUAUGGUCCAGAUGCGACACAAUUCCAAUUAUAGAAUGAUAGAAUACAGGAAAAUAGUACUAGUAGGACAUGCUUAGACAAGCUCCUAACAAUCUAAUAUAUCAAACACUCUUUAAAAUAUCCCCGUUGACCCUCAAAUCCUUCCUAACCUAUAAAAAUAGUUGGUUCGGCAAGAUAACUCGAUCAUUAGCGGAGAUAGGCAUAUCCUGGGAAUUCAUUAACCGAGCUUCUUCUGAUAGGAAAACUUUCUUUUAGAAGGAUUCCUACACAAGAUACCAUUCAACAAAACCAAACACUGGAACGUUUCAUACUACCAAAAUCUAAAGGCAUUAUUGCUUCAACAAGAGAGAAAGCUAGAAAGAGACAGAAAAGGAACGAGCAAAGUCUUAUUCCUACAACAUCCAACCAUCUUGAAGAUACUGGAAAUAAACAAUUUGCUUCAACAUCCAAUCAUCUUGAAGAUACUGAAAAUCAAGAACAAAUUCCUACACAAGAUACCUUUGGUGCAAUAUCUA